GAUGAACGCUGACGGCAUGCCUAAUACAUGCAAGUCGAACGAGAGGAAGGAAAGCUUGCUUUUCUGAAUCUAGUGGCGAACGGGUGAGUAACACGUAGGUAACCUGCCCAUGUGCCCGGGAUAACUUCUGGAAACGGAUGCUAAAACCGGAUAGGUAGCAGACAAGUAUUUGACUGCUACUAAAGUGGCUAAGGCCAUGAACAUGGAUGGACCUGCGGUGCAUUAGCUAGUUGGUGAGGUAACGGCCCACCAAGGCGACGAUGCAUAGCCGGCCUGAGAGGGCGGACGGCCACAUUGGGACUGAGACACGGCCCAAACUCCUACGGGAGGCAGCAGUAGGGAAUUUUCGUCAAUGGGGGGAACCCUGAACGAGCAAUGCCGCGUGAGUGAGGAAGGUCUUCGGAUCGUAAAGCUCUGUUGUAAGAGAAAAACGACAUUCAUAGGGAAUGAUGAGUGAGUGAUGGUAUCUUACCAGAAAGUCACGGCUAACUACGUGCCAGCAGCCGCCGUAA
This 512-nucleotide ribosomal RNA is filed under the name uncultured bacterium. Its description in RNAcentral is "partial 16S ribosomal RNA". It matches the Rfam family "Bacterial small subunit ribosomal RNA", at positions 28 to 523 of the family's 1533-position model. The record is from RNAcentral.